This 29-nucleotide non-coding RNA is filed under the name Mus musculus (house mouse). The record is from RNAcentral. Lineage: Eukaryota; Metazoa; Chordata; Mammalia; Rodentia; Muridae.
UGCUUAAGAAGUUUGGUAUGUUGGUUGGU